AUGACAACACAAUGCAAAGAAGACGACAGGAAACUUCUGCUCUUUGUAUCACUGUGGUGGACUUUCGGCAGCGGCACCAGACUGGAUGUUGGCAGUAACAGUCGUCCUAAAGUGAGCGUCCUGCCACCGUCCAGUGAAGAGAUUUCCACAAAGCAAGCAGCAACACUGAUGUGUGUGGCCAACAAGGGCUUCCCCUCAGACUGGAGUCUGAACUGGAAGGUGGACGGGAUCAGCAGCAGGUCUCAGUACAGCAGUGUUGCUCUCCUGGAGAAGGACGGUCUGUACAGCUGGAGCAGCAGUCUGACUCUCUCUGAGCAGGAGUGGAGCUCAGUGAUCUCAGUCAGCUGUGAGCUCACACAGAAAGACCAGCGUGAUAAAGUCACUGGAGAAUUGAGGAGAGAUCAGUGUUCACAGUAG
Misgurnus anguillicaudatus (oriental weatherfish) is the source of this 417-nucleotide non-coding RNA. The record is from the annotation of a RefSeq genome assembly. NCBI's taxonomy places the organism in Eukaryota, Metazoa, Chordata, Actinopteri, Cypriniformes, Cobitidae.